Long non-coding RNA from Passer domesticus (house sparrow), 1335 nucleotides. RefSeq lists it as uncharacterized. NCBI's taxonomy places the organism in Eukaryota, Metazoa, Chordata, Aves, Passeriformes, Passeridae. The record is from RefSeq and is a predicted model, not a curated record. The transcript is spliced from 4 exons.
UGUCACUGCUGUGCAGUUUAGGCAUCCUGGAGCCAGCUUUACACAAGCUAGCCUGAGAAGUGGUAGCAGUGCAGCCACAGUAAAACGGAGCUCAGUGUGGGUUAAUUGCUAAAAUAUUUGCCCAACUUCUUGAGCAGGUUUUACAACCCCUGCUAAUCUCCUGUUGCAGCUGUAUUUUGACAGCUUGGGUGCUGGCUGCAGACCAGGUUCAGGUCUCUCUUCGAAAAAUCACACACAAUUUAGAAGGUGCUGUGCUUUAGUCCUGGAGCAAAAAGCUGUGAUUUAUAUGUAGCAUGCUGAUUCUUCCCCGAGAGUAAGGAGUCUUUUCCUGGACCUUGCAAGAUGAGAGGCUGACAAAAAGUUUGCAGAUAUAAUUAUUAUCAAAGUAUUCAGGAGAGAAGAAAGGAGACAGGCUGAGCAUGCUGAUAUGGAAAACCAAGAAUCCUUAAGCAGUCAAAGGUACUUGUUUAUUUUGGUGGCUCCUUGGUGAUUGUCCUUUUCACCUUUUAUUAACCUGCAAAUGGAUUAGCCCUCGUAAACUAAAGAGAAGAGACCAGCGCACAACCCACUGCCCCAGAGAUAAGGUCACAAAGAGGGGACGUGUCCCGAGUACAACCUCGGAGAAGAAAUAGAAGUCUGAAGGCAUUUACACUAGGCUGCCAUCGCGCUUUACUAGCCCUACUGUGAUUUACCGUAUCAGUUCAACUGCUGACACCUUUAUGUCCCUCCCUCCUAUCCCAGCAGGCCACAGAGACACAGUCCAUGAUAGAUGCUGGUGAACUUUUCCUCUGAUCACCUUCUGAAGAACUUUCCCAUAAUCUAUUGUUUUCUAUCACAGUGGAAAACAAAACAAGGGGGUUUUUUUGACUUUCAGUUACCAGCUAUUUUGCCCUAACUUUAAAGCAAUGUACUGAAUUUAUUACAUCAGUGUGAAAGAAGUUUUAAACUCUUGUCUCUUUAUCCUACUCCCUGAACUUAACAUGGUCCAGAGUAAAUCAACGUAAUUGCUGUUAGACCUACAUUGUUGCAGGAAUGUUUUAUAUUCCAUGUUGUCAGUUAUUUAGAACAGUUAAUUGAAAUUGCAACCAUAAAGAGAGGAAAGCUACAGUUAAGAAAUUAACUUUUUUUUGGUGCCUGUGGCUACUUGUAUGAAUUAUAUAAAGAGCCAACACUAACUUUAAUGUAAGACCAAAAGUGUCUGGAAUACCUAAAAGGAAAAAUACAUUUGUGGAUUCAAGGCAAGUAUUUCCUUUAAUUGACUGAUAAAAAUAUAAGAGCCCAUUCUGGAUUGAGAGAAGCAGUUGAACUAUCGUUCUUCUCUAUAACUCCAAAAUA